This 600-nucleotide ribosomal RNA is filed under the name Bacillus tequilensis. RNAcentral describes it as "bacterial SSU rRNA". It matches the Rfam family "Bacterial small subunit ribosomal RNA", at positions 40 to 621 of the family's 1533-position model. The record is from RNAcentral. Lineage: Bacteria; Bacillati; Bacillota; Bacilli; Caryophanales; Bacillaceae.
CGUACGAGAGCGUAUAAUGCAAGUCGAGCGGACAGAUGGGAGCUUGCUCCCUGAUGUUAGCGGCGGACGGGUGAAUAACACGUGGUUAACCUGCCUGUAAGACUGGGAUAACUCCGGGAAACCGGGGCUAAUACCGGAUGCUUGUUUGAACCGCAUGGUUCAAACAUAAAAGGUGGCUUCGGCUACCACUUACAGAUGGACCCGCGGCGCAUUAGCUAGUUGGUGAGGUAAUGGCUCACCAAGGCAACGAUGCGUAGCCGACCUGAGAGGGUGAUCGGCCACACUGGGACUGAGACACGGCCCAGACUCCUACGGGAGGCAGCAGUAGGGAAUCUUCCGCAAUGGACGAAAGUCUGACGGAGCAACGCCGCGUGAGUGAUGAAGGUUUUCGGAUCGUAAAGCUCUGUUGUUAGGGAAGAACAAGUGCCGUUCAAAUAGGGCGGCACCUUGACGGUACCUAACCAGAAAGCCACGGCUAACUACGUGCCAGCAGCCGCGGUAAUACGUAGGUGGCAAGCGUUGUCCGGAAUUAUUGGGCGUAAAGGGCUCGCAGGCGGUUUCUUAAGUCUGAUGUGAAAGCCCCCGGCUCAACCGGGGAGG